This 564-nucleotide long non-coding RNA is filed under the name Chrysolophus pictus (golden pheasant). RNAcentral describes it as "lncRNA (ENSCPIG00010007110.1)". Lineage: Eukaryota; Metazoa; Chordata; Aves; Galliformes; Phasianidae. The record is from RNAcentral.
ACAGUUUCUACUGAUCAAUGGAAAAGUGGUUCCAGUCACGAUAUAAGAAACAUUUCUGCUACUAAAGUUCAUCUAUUUCCUGUGAAAACCAACGAACAACCGAUUUCACUUACUGCACAGGCCAUAAAGAUACUGCCCAUAAUUCCUGAACAAGAACACUGUCAUCUGAGUACAUCAAGUAUUGAAUGUGGUACCAUAUGAAAUACAAUUUCUAUUGCAUGAAAGAAAGAAACAAUACACCACGGAAGACAGGAUCUCUAUUUCCAGUUUGGGAACUCUGUUAUCCAUCUUUUUAGGAGAAUGCCAGCUGUGCAGUUUAGUUGAGAAGCUUCAUUUUAUCUAACAGAACUACUUGGUAUUAAGAAAACAUGAAUAAUGAACGAACACACUUUGCUGUAGAAUCAACUUCUUUAGUAAAUUAUGGAUUCCCAUCUAUUUUCUGUUCAUUCAAGAUUUAUGCUUAAUCAUAAGGUCCUGAAAUAAUCCAUGCAAUAAUUUAUUUUUCUAACUGGGAGGAAAUUUAUAUUCUCCAUAGAAUAAAAUACUGAUAAAAAAUCGAAAUCA